UACGUAGGUGGCGAGCGUUGUCCGGAAUUAUUGGGCGUAAAGAGCUCGUAGGUGGUGUGUCGCGUCUGCCGUGAAAGCCCGGGGCUUAACCCUGGAAUUGCCUUUAAGACUGCAUCGCUAGAAUCGUGGAGAGGUGAGUGGAAUUCCGAGUGUAGAGGUGAAAUUCGUAGAUAUUCGGAAGAACACCAGUGGCGAAGGCGGCUUCCUGGACCGGUUCUGACACUGAGGAGCGAAAGCGUGGGGAGCGAUCCGG
RNAcentral lists this ribosomal RNA (253 nucleotides) under uncultured bacterium. RNAcentral's name for it is "partial 16S ribosomal RNA". It matches the Rfam family "Bacterial small subunit ribosomal RNA", at positions 524 to 776 of the family's 1533-position model. The record is from RNAcentral.